AAUGGCAGUGCUAGGUUUUAUAAAAAACGCAAGUGAGGACUUGAAGGAUGUGGCUUGUUCUGUUUGGACGAUGCAGGAUUGCUUUAAGCAGUAAGCUUACUGUUUUCAGAUGGCAUUAGCAGCAUCAGUGAUAUAGCUGUGUCAGCCUCCUCGACUGCUGGAUGUCUGUAAUCGCACGGAGGAAACUAUAUUUAAGAUCUGAUAUCUUGAGGGUAAUGACUCCAGCACUUACUGAUGGACAGAAUGGCUGUUAAUGCUUUCUUCACUAGCCCAGAAGAUUUUGAAAGAUAGAUAGGUCUGUGAUGUACUUUGAUAAGGCAGGAAAUGCAAUUUUUGGGGGUCUCUGGAAAUAGAAAGGUCAUGCAGCUUGGAACCGGUGAGACUUUACAGUCCCUAAGUCAUCAGAGAAAUGAUGAAGAGGCUGUUGUGGAUAGAGGUGGAACUCGCUCCAUUCUCAAGACACAUUUUGAAAAGGAAGAUCUAGAAGGCCAUCGAACAUUGUUCAUUGGGGUUCACGUGCCACUGGGUGGAAGAAAAAGUCACCGACGCCAUCGGCACCGUGGGCAUAAACACAGAAAGAGAGACAGAGAGCGAGAUUCAGGAUUAGAAGAUGGGAGAGAAUCUCCUCCUUUUGAUACCCCAUCACAAAGGGUGCAGUUUAUUCUUGGAACAGAAGAUGAUGAUGAGGAACACAUUCCUCAUGAUCUCUUUACUGAGCUUGAUGAAAUCUGUUGGCGUGAAGGAGAGGAUGCAGAGUGGAGGGAGACAGCAAGGUGGUUGAAGUUUGAAGAAGAUGUAGAGGAUGGUGGAGAGAGGUGGAGCAAACCCUACGUUGCCACACUGUCACUUCAUAGCUUGUUUGAGCUGAGGAGCUGCAUCCUGAAUGGCACAGUUCUUUUGGACAUGAGAGCUAACUCCAUAGAAGAAAUUGCAGAUAUGAUUCUGGACCAGCAGGUGGGUUCUGGGCAGCUCAGUGAGGAUGUUCGUCACCGGGUGCAUGAGGCUUUACUGAAACAGCAUCACCAUCAGAACCAGAAGAAGCUGAGCAACAGGAUCCCAAUUGUAAGAUCCUUUGCUGAUAUUGGAAAGAAGCAGUCUGAGCCCCAUUCCAUGGAUAAAAAUGCAGGUCAGGUUGUUUCCCCACAGGCUACUCCAGCCUGUAUUGAAAACAAAAAUGAUGUGAGCAGAGAAAACAGCACUGUUGACUUUAGCAAGGUUGACCUACACUUCAUGAAAAAGAUACCACCUGGAGCUGAAGCAUCAAACAUCUUAGUUGGUGAACUGGAGUUCCUGGACCGUGCUGUUGUGGCUUUUGUUAGGUUGUCUCCUGCAGUGCUGCUUACAGGACUGGCUGAAGUUCCAAUUCCAACCAGAUUUUUGUUUAUUCUUCUUGGACCGCUGGGUAAAGGACAACAAUACCAUGAGAUUGGAAGAUCAAUUGCCACACUAAUGACAGAUGAGGUAUUCCAUGAUGUUGCUUACAAAGCAAAAGACCGCAAUGACUUGGUGUCUGGAAUUGAUGAGUUUCUUGAUCAGGUUACUGUUCUCCCUCCUGGAGAGUGGGACCCAACAAUUCGAAUAGAACCACCUAAAAAUGUUCCCUCUCAGGAGAAGCGUAAGAUCCCAGGAGUGCCAAAUGGAACUGCAGCCCACGGGGAAGCAGAACAUCCUGGGGGACACUCUGGACCAGAAUUGCAACGCACUGGAAAAUUUUUUGGAGGAUUAAUUUUAGAUAUCAAAAGAAAAGCUCCCUUCUUCUGGAGUGACUUCAGGGAUGCUCUCAGUCUGCAAUGUCUGGCAUCAUUUUUGUUUCUCUACUGUGCUUGCAUGUCUCCUGUCAUCACAUUUGGUGGUCUGCUGGGAGAAGCAACUGAAGGUCGUAUAAGUGCAAUAGAAUCGCUGUUUGGAGCAUCCAUGACUGGAAUUGCCUACUCUCUUUUUGGUGGACAGCCUCUCACUAUACUUGGCAGCACAGGACCAGUUUUAGUGUUUGAGAAGAUCUUAUUCAAAUUUUGCAAAGAGUACGGGUUGUCAUACCUUUCUCUGAGAGCCAGCAUUGGGCUGUGGACUGCAAUCCUGUGCAUCAUCCUUGUUGCAACUGAUGCAAGCUCCCUAGUCUGCUAUAUUACCCGCUUUACUGAAGAAGCCUUUGCUUCUCUUAUCUGCAUCAUUUUCAUUUAUGAGGCCUUAGAGAAGCUGUUUCAUCUCAGUGAGACAUAUCCAAUCAACAUGCACAAUAACUUGGAGCUGCUGACAAAGUACUCAUGCAAUUGUGUGGAACCAGAACAUCCUAGCAAUAAAACCUUACAAUACUGGCAAGACUACAAUAUAUCUGCAUCUGAUGUACCAUGGGGGAACCUAACGGUGUCAGAAUGUAAAAAGUUUCAUGGUGAGUUUGUUGGACGAGCCUGUGGUCAUCACGGCCCUUACGUUCCAGAUGUCCUCUUCUGGUCUGUCAUCUUGUUCUUUUCUACAGUAACGCUCUCGUCCACACUGAAGCAGUUCAAAACCAGCCGAUACUUCCCAACAAAGGUACGCUCUGUUGUCAGCGAUUUUGCUGUCUUUCUCACUAUUUUGUCCAUGGUUUUAAUUGACUAUGCCAUUGGAAUUCCAUCACCAAAACUUCAGGUUCCAAAUGCUUUUAAGCCCACCAGAGAUGAUCGUGGCUGGUUCAUUACUCCUUUGGGGCCUAAUCCUUGGUGGACAGUGAUAGCUGCUGUAAUUCCAGCCCUGCUUUGUACUAUCCUAAUCUUUAUGGACCAGCAGAUCACAGCUGUCAUUAUCAAUAGAAAAGAACACAAACUAAAGAAAGGAUGUGGAUACCACCUCGACCUACUCAUGGUGGCAGUGAUGCUUGGAGUGUGCUCUAUUAUGGGAUUGCCGUGGUUUGUUGCAGCCACUGUCCUCUCUAUUUCCCAUGUGAACAGCUUAAAACUGGAAUCAGAGUGCUCUGCUCCAGGGGAGCAGCCAAAAUUUCUUGGAAUCCGGGAGCAAAGAGUCACAGGGCUCAUGAUUUUUAUCCUUAUGGGCUCAUCUGUCUUUUUGACAAGUAUUCUAAAGUUUAUUCCUAUGCCAGUACUUUAUGGAGUGUUUCUUUACAUGGGUGCUUCAUCUCUAAAGGGAAUUCAGCUUUUUGACAGGAUAAAGUUAUUCUGGAUGCCUGCAAAGCACCAGCCAGAUUUUAUUUAUCUAAGACAUGUUCCUCUUAGAAAGGUCCAUCUCUUCACUAUAAUUCAGCUGAGUUGUCUUGUGCUUCUCUGGAUUAUAAAGGUUUCAAGAGCUGCCAUUGUCUUUCCUAUGAUGGUCCUAGCUUUGGUAUUUGUCCGAAAACUUAUGGAUUUCUUUUUUACCAAGCGGGAGCUCAGUUGGUUAGAUGAUUUGAUGCCUGAGAGCAAGAAAAAGAAACUGGAAGAUGCUGAGAAAGAGGAAGAGCAAAGUAUGUUAGCAAUGGAAGAGGAAGGGACUGUUCAGUUACCACUAGAAGGACAUUACAGAGAUGACCCAUCUGUGAUAAACAUUUCUGAUGAAAUGGCAAAAACUGCUGUGUGGAAGACAUUGUUGAUAUCCUCAGAGAAUGCAAAAGAUAAGGAGUCAAGCUUUCCUUCUAAAAGCCUUGUGUAACUCAGCCUAUUUCUCAUUCAUUCUAGUUAAGGAAUUAUUCCCAUGAAACCUGUGCUGAAAUCAGAAAAGAGAAGAAAGCUGACUCAGGGAAAGGUGUUGACCGGGAGACUUGUCUAUGACUUGCUCUUCAAGUAAUUUUUUUACAAACAAAUUAAAGGAGUGCCACAACCACUAAAUAUAAAUUAUUUACCUUGUAACUUUUGUCUUUCAUCUCAAACUAGCACAGGUAAUGUAGUGCAAUACUUGUCUCAUUCCACCUUGUCUACCUUGUCUAGUAUCAAUGUAAAUGUCUGCAGUAGCCAAUGCAAAAAAUCUUUGUGUUCGUUGCUGAUCUUGGCCAUUUAUCAGUAGUCGUAUCAGAAAUGUAAUAAGCAAAUUUUCUUUCAAAUUCAACUUUCCUGUUAAUAGGUUUGUACUGUAUUUUGCUACUUUUUCUGUGUGAGAAUACUUAAUAAUCUUGAUUCAGAAUACUUAAUAAUCUUGAUUCAGGAUGAACUUGAAAACCCUUGUUCCAUUUUUUUUUUUUUUUUUUAAAUCACCUAACUACUAAAUUAUUUCAGGAGACCCAAACUGGCAAGCAAACAUUAAGAAGUUGAUAAAAUAACAACAGAUCUGACCCUGUGAAUAAACUAACAAGGAUAAUUCUUUCCUCCUUAAACUGUCCUUUUGAAGUCAUGGAUUACUUAUUUUACAAUGUGAAUUGCAGGGUCAGAUUCCAUAUUUAUGAAGUUUUCCUUGAUUUAAUACAGUGUAUUUAAUAUUAAAAUUUGUAUGUAACUGGAACAUAGUCCUAAAUAUAUAUAAAUAUAUAUAUAUAUAUAAAAUUAUAUAUAUUAAAACAUUUUCUCACCUUAGCUAAAGAACACCACCACACAUCCUUUGAUGUGAAACAUGGGUAUGGUAUUUCUUAAAAUGCGAUUUGUGAUUAAGGUAUCUUCUCUUGUAUUGUAUGAAUGUUGCCAUGAAAGGCCAAACAAAUGCAUUUUGUCAUUAAUCAAUACAUUAUUUUAUAACAGGGAAAAUUUUGUAGAUAAAAACUAUACCCCACAUGCAGUUUUAUCACCUGCCCAAUGAUCUUCCUCUUUACUGCCUAAAAUUUAGCCACAUAAAGGGCGUAUUUAUAUUGUCUUCUCUCCACUAACAACUGUAAACCUCUUCAUUUCAGAGAUUGUGUAUAAUACUUAAAUGGAUAUCCUGCUGUUGUUUUGUUACAGCUCUUUAUUAUUCCAUCAAGUACAUAUUGAUUAAGAGAUAAAAACAACCUUGAAACGUAAAAUGUCGCUUUAAGGCUAUUACAUUUUUCGUAAUGGAUUUUGUUACUGCCCGAUCCUUCAAGCUGUUCUUUUGUGUAAAGGACUGCGAGAUUAGGUGUUGAGUGGAUAGGAAUGUGGAGCUAAAGUUUUAUCAUGUUAUUUGGAAUUCACUGAUUUUUAAAUUUUUUAGGAUAAAUUUUUAAAUUAUUAAGAUGAAAGCUAACUCUAUUAUGCUGUAACUUUGAAUCCUCAAAAUAAGAAUUGUAGUCUUGCAAUCUUCGUAAGAACUCAUUCAUAGGGCUCUAACAUUCCCAAGCUUUCCCAAAUGAGCUAAUUUUCUAUACAACUUGUGAACAAGUUUUCCCAUUCAGCACAUUUAAAGUAUUCCAAUGUUUUUGUGUAUGUGAGUGUGUAUGUUUUAAUACUUUAGCCAUAAAUAAUUGCAUUUUGCUGCAAACUUAAUAGGGUCACUGUUUACCUUAAAUUUAAAUUUACCUUAGCAUUAUCAAAGCCCAUUAAAAGCCAUUUUUAUGGAGAAAAAAAAAAAUCUAAUGGACACGAAGAAGGAUUCACAUCUAAUUCAAUGUUUGUAUAUGUAAAUUUAGGAAAAAAAUGCUGAUGCAUUAAGGUUAAAUGCUUUGUUUUGUGUACUUGAUGAUAAAUUGUAAGAUUCCAAUUGUUUUAAGGUUAGUAUAGAAGCUCAAUACUGGUUUGUCCUGAAAGCAGCCUGAUGGUGUUUUAACAUGUUGCUGACUUUGUUACAGAUAAUGUAUACAAUCAAAAUGUAUUAGCUUCACUUGACCAACUCUUAGAAUAUUAAGAAAUCAGUGUAUUCAAUGGCAUUCUGUAUUUCUGUUCAGUAUUUCAGAGUGGUUUUAUUUUAAAACACUCUGGUUUUGCGUGAAUUUAAGUGCUUUUCCAAUGUUAAUCUUAACAUUCUGAAAUCAAACAAAAUAUAAAGCAGAUGUAGUGCUAUAUUUACUUCUAAUUUCAUAUUCCUGGUCAAAAUUACUUAAUUUCUUGGAUGUAAUUUAUUACAAAAGUUUAUGUGUACAUGUGAAUAGACUAUUGUGUUUUUCACAAUUAAGAAAUGUUAUGUGAAAAUAAAUAUUUAUCCUAACUAA
Cyanistes caeruleus (blue tit) is the source of this 5998-nucleotide RNA transcript. It is a transcript of the gene named solute carrier family 4 member 10, with no coding region annotated. The record is from RefSeq and is a predicted model, not a curated record. NCBI's taxonomy places the organism in Eukaryota, Metazoa, Chordata, Aves, Passeriformes, Paridae.